GAUCCUGGCUCAGAUUGAACGCUGGCGGCAUGCCUUACACAUGCAAGUCGAACGGCAGCGCGGACUUCGGUCUGGCGGCGAGUGGCGAACGGGUGAGUAAUACAUCGGAACGUACCCUGUUGUGGGGGAUAACUAGUCGAAAGAUUAGCUAAUACCGCAUACGACCUGAGGGUGAAAGUGGGGGACCGCAAGGCCUCACGCAGCAGGAGCGGCCGAUGUCUGAUUAGCUAGUUGGUGGGG
RNAcentral lists this ribosomal RNA (240 nucleotides) under uncultured bacterium. Its description in RNAcentral is "partial 16S ribosomal RNA". It matches the Rfam family "Bacterial small subunit ribosomal RNA", at positions 15 to 257 of the family's 1533-position model. The record is from RNAcentral.